RNAcentral lists this long non-coding RNA (288 nucleotides) under Mytilus galloprovincialis (Mediterranean mussel). The record is from RNAcentral. Lineage: Eukaryota; Metazoa; Mollusca; Bivalvia; Mytilida; Mytilidae.
GUAAUGCAGCCUCGCAUAGCGAGGCUGGAUGGGCCACUUCGUGCCCCAUAUAUCUAAUUUCCCGAAACCGUACCAUUAUUUUGGGGCAUGCUACGCCUAUGUUAUCCGAAUGUCAUCCAUAAAUAUUCGUAAAGUCCAAACAGUGUUGUAAAAGCAGUUUUCUCAAUAUAUUCAUUAUGCAUCACCACAACAUUGUAACAGCUAGUUAAAUACAUUGUUGAAAAUAAUUUAGCUCUACUUAAAGUACCAAACCAUUCCUCAACACAAAGUAAUGGGUAAGCAUCUUUG